CGGGGGGGGCAAGCGUUGUUCGGAAUUACUGGGCGUAAAGGGUUCGUAGGUGGCCGACUAAGUCAGACGUGAAAUCCCUCAGCUUAACUGGGGAACUGCGUCUGAGACUGGCCGGCUCGAGGGCAGGAGAGGAACGUGGAAUUCCAGGUGUAGCGGUGAAAUGCGUAGAUAUCUGGAGGAACACCGGUGGCGAAGGCGGCGUUCUGGACUGCAUCUGACACUGAGGAACGAAAGCCAGGGGAGCAAACGGGAUUAGAUACCCCGGUAGUCCUGGCCCUAAACGAUGAAUGCUUGGUGUGGCGGGUAUCGAUCCCUGCCGUGCCGCAGUUAACGCGUUAAGCAUUCCGCCUGGGGAGUACGGUCGCAAGGCUG
This 372-nucleotide ribosomal RNA is filed under the name uncultured organism. RNAcentral's name for it is "bacterial SSU rRNA". It matches the Rfam family "Bacterial small subunit ribosomal RNA", at positions 526 to 896 of the family's 1533-position model. The record is from RNAcentral.